This is a non-coding RNA of Schizosaccharomyces pombe (fission yeast), 410 nucleotides long. The record is from the annotation of a GenBank genome assembly. NCBI's taxonomy places the organism in Eukaryota, Fungi, Ascomycota, Schizosaccharomycetes, Schizosaccharomycetales, Schizosaccharomycetaceae.
GCAGUAAAAAGAUCAAAUUUAUUACAGGCAAUUAAUAGAUGAGGGACAUGAUGCUUGCGACAUUUUAAAAUUGUGUCAAACAACAUCAAUCCAACCUCGUGCACAUCCCUGUCAAUUGUAGCACUGUUGAGAACGAAAACUACAGCUUUUACAUUAUAAUUUCCAGAGAAUUUAGUAGUAAUCCAACGUUUGGCCCUGGGAUGCCCUGGAAGAUCUACUAACCAAGCACCAUAUUUCCACACAGCUUCAUUAGGUUCAAUGCUAGGAACUGUAGUUUUCUUUUCUUUAUAAAUUAGCUAUAUAACAGUUAAUAAGUAUUCAAAGAUUGUAUAUUAUUGUUAUACCUCACAAAACAAAGACGUUUUUCCAGAAUCGCUAGGUCCAAUUAAAAACACUGCUGGUAACUUCUU